CCAGGCGAUGGUUGUCCUGGGGUAAGCAUGUAGGGCGUGUCGUAGGUAAAUCCGCGGCAUUUAAGCCUGAGAUGUGAUGCCGAGCCGAUUGUGGUGAAGUGGAUGAUCCUAUGCUGCCGAGAAAAGCCUCUAGUGAGUGUUGUGGCGGCCCGUACCCUAAACCGACUCAGGUGGUCAGGUAGAGAAUACCAAGGCGAUCGGGUGAACUGUGGUUAAGGAACUCGGCAAAUUGCCCCCGUAACUUCGGGAGAAGGGGGACCUCUGUUGGUGAUGGGCUUUACGCCUGGAGCUGGUGGGGGUCGCAGUGGCCAGGGGGAAGCGACUGUUUACUAAAAACACAGGUCCGUGCGAAGUCGUAAGACGAUGUAUACGGACUGACGCCUGCCCGGUGCCGGAACGUUAAGGGGACCGCUUAGCUGACGUGAGUUGGCGAAGGUGAGAACUUAAGCGCCGGUAAACGGCGGUGGUAACUAUAACCAUCCUAAGGUAGCGAAAUUCCUUGUCGGGUAAGUUCCGACCUGCACGAAUGGCGUAACGACUUCCCCGCUGUCUCAACCGCAGACCCGGCGAAAUUGCACUACGAGUAAAGAUGCUCGUUUCGCGCAGCAGGACGGAAAGACCCCGGGACCUUCACUACAGCUUGACAUUGGCGUUUGGAACGUCUUGUGUAGGAUAGGUGGGAGACUGGGAAGCUGUCACGCUAGUGAUGGUGGAGUCAUUGGUGAAAUACCACUCUGGUCGUUUUGAACGUCUAACUCUGGUCCGUGAUCCGGAUCGGGGACAGUGUCUGGUGGGUAGUUUAACUGGGGCGGUUGCCUCCUAAAGAGUAACGGAGGCGCCCAAAGGUUCCCUCAGCCUGGUUGGCAAUCAGGUGUUGAGUGUAAGUGCACAAGGGAGCUUGACUGUGAGACUGACAGGUCGAGCAGGAGCGAAAGCUGGGACUAGUGAUCCGGCAUCGGCGUGUGGAAGCGGUGUCGCUCAACGGCUAAAAGGUACCCCGGGGAUAACAGGCUGAUCUUCCCCAAGAGUCCAUAUCGACGGGAUGGUUUGGCACCUCGAUGUCGGCUCGUCGCAUCCUGGGGCUGGAGUAGUCCCAAGGGUUGGGCUGUUCGCCCAUUAAAGCGGUGCGCGAGCUGGGUUUAGAACGUCGCGAGACAGUUCGGUCCCUAUCCGCUGCGCGCGCAGGAGACUUGAAGGGGGCUGUCCCUAGUACGAGAGGACCGGGACGGACGAACCUCUGGUGUGCCAGUUGUACCGCCAGGUGCACGGCUGGUUGGCUACGUUCGGAAGGGAUAACCGCUGAAAGCAUCUAAGCGGGAAGCUCGCCUUGAGAUGAGGUCUCCCACCACGAGAGUGGGUAAGGCUCCCGGUAGACGACCGGGUUGAUAGGCCGGAGGUGGAAGCACGGUAACGUGUGGAGCUGACCGGUACUAAUAGGCCGAGGACUUGACCG
Molecule: ribosomal RNA, 1453 nt
Filed under: metagenome
Description: bacterial LSU rRNA
Rfam family: Bacterial large subunit ribosomal RNA
Source: RNAcentral